AAAAAAAAGUCCCUUAAACCACAGCUGGAUUCAUCUCAUUUUGAAUUAUUUCUGUUUUAUUUGCCUAAUGGGAUGUCAAAUAGCUGCUGAAGAACUAAUUGUUCCACUGUCUGAUGCAUACCAUUAAAGGGAGGGAAAGGAUGAAAAAUGCAAUGGAAACCCUCGCCAAUCUGAACGGCUGUUGUUUGGCGUGUCUAUUGCCUAUAAGAGUUUUCCUUUGUGUAUGGAGUGGACCCAAACCUACGCAGAUCUGUUUUAUUGGCAUGGGAACAUGAGAUUAAAAGAGAAACUUGAC
This is a long non-coding RNA of Caretta caretta (loggerhead turtle), 295 nucleotides long. RefSeq lists it as uncharacterized. The record is from RefSeq and is a predicted model, not a curated record. NCBI's taxonomy places the organism in Eukaryota, Metazoa, Chordata, Testudines, Cheloniidae.